UUAUUCGGUAGGUAAGGCUACCACAGGGAUACGGAUUACUGCCGCGAAAUGGUGGAGACACUAUGAGAUGGUCAGCAGGUCACAUCGAAAAACAAGGUGUGAUUUAAUGUAAUUUCAUCGCCCUGCGAAGCUAAAGCUUGAACGAAAU
This 148-nucleotide small RNA is filed under the name human gut metagenome. RNAcentral describes it as "M-box riboswitch (ykoK leader)". It matches the Rfam family "M-box riboswitch aptamer (ykoK leader)", at positions 11 to 159 of the family's 169-position model. From Rfam's summary of the family: M-box riboswitch, also know as ykoK leader is described as a metaloregulatory RNA that sense divalent metals and function as a genetic control element of genes related to divalent metal transport in bacteria. The record is from RNAcentral.